GCUGAAGAUUAAACCCUGGAGUCUGACCCAUUGUGAGAGCAGCACCCUGACUCCUGGUGGCUCCUGCAGCAGCUUUUACACCCAUUUUUUUCUCAUGACGCUUCUUCUGGUUGGAAACUUAACAAAUUUCAUCAGGUAAGAGACACUAAAUGUGACCAUGUAACCCUUAUUUUAAAAUAAACCAGAGGGAGUAA
RNAcentral lists this long non-coding RNA (194 nucleotides) under Dasypus novemcinctus (nine-banded armadillo). RNAcentral describes it as "lncRNA (ENSDNOG00000051597.1)". Lineage: Eukaryota; Metazoa; Chordata; Mammalia; Cingulata; Dasypodidae. The record is from RNAcentral.